UACCCCAGCGCGCUCUCUCCUGCCUCGUCCUGCAACUGUCUCGUAUCAGCCUACAUUCGGCGUACAGAAAAUGAAACGAACUAACAAUAGGAGAACAGACGUAGUAAAUCCAAAAUUGAUAAGAGGAUCCCUAGACCAUAGCCACAAUUUAAGAUGUGAUCUAUAAUGUCAAGCGAUUAAUCGGAAUUAUUUAUACUCUGAGACUAGCUAAGCUAAUUUAGGAAACCUCAGAGGGUGCGCAAGCAAGGGUUUCAAUUUCAUCCUUUCGAAGACGAGCUACUAUGCGUGGCCGCGAGGAGUGGCUGGCGACUCGGACAAACUGAGAAUUCUGAUGGAGUCCGGAGUGGACGUGUCCUAUUUCGACGGGCAAGUCCUCACUCCACUCAUGCACGCGGCCAAGCACGACCAUGCCCUUGUGGUCAAGACCCUUCUAGCAUCUGGCGCGCCCUGGGAACAUCCUCUCCGGUGUUCUCGCUGUGGAAGCUGGCUACUUGGGCGCUUCUGAUAUCCUCCUCAACGCCGGGUUACUUUUAGUGAGUUCCGUGAGGAUAAGCUGAUGGACGCUGACAACAAGGCUGUCAUGAUGGCUUGGGAGAAACCUUUGGUGGAGGCUCAUGCCAAAGCUGUUUGCUCAGGCGGUGGUCACAUUCUGAACAUUGGAUUUUGGAAUGGGUCUGGUGGAUAAUGCCAUUCAGAAAUGUGUACCUGUCACGCACACUAUUGUUGAAGCCCACCUGGAAAGUUCAUGCAUGAAUGCUCCGCACUGGUUGGAGUGACCGGGAUGAUGUGAAGAUAAUAUGUGGCCGUUGGCAAGAUCAUGUUCUUUAUCAAAUUGAAUCUUAUGAUGGUAACUCCUGAAUCUCAGUUGCACUUUUGCCUACGAACAAAUAAUCAUAUUUAUGUUUUAUGCAACUAGUGUACAUCCAGGUUCAUUUAAACAUACAGUUAUGUGUUUUCGUAUCUAUGUCUACUUAGUUUGUGUUUUAACAGUACCUAUGAUUGCAUCAUAUGAGUGAUGACCAGAAUGUUCACUUUAGUAGCUCCUACAAGUGAAAUCUACAUGAAAGAUUGGGAUGGUAUUAUUGCUUAUAGCUUGACAGCCAGUUUAAAAGUAUA
This is a long non-coding RNA of Carya illinoinensis, 1116 nucleotides long. RefSeq lists it as uncharacterized. The transcript has 2 exons. NCBI's taxonomy places the organism in Eukaryota, Viridiplantae, Streptophyta, Magnoliopsida, Fagales, Juglandaceae. The record is from RefSeq and is a predicted model, not a curated record.